AUGAACGCUGGCGGCGUGCCUAACACAUGCAAGUCGAGCGAAGCACUUUACCAGAUUUCUUCGGAAUGAAAGUGAUGUGACUGAGCGGCGGACGGGUGAGUAACGCGUGGAUAACCUGCCUCAUACAGGGGGAUAACAGUUAGAAAUGACUGCUAAUACCGCAUAAGACCACAGCACCGCAUGGUGCAGGGGUAAAAACUCCGGUGGUAUGAGAYGGAUCCGCGUCUGAUUAGCUAGUUGGUAAGGUAACGGCUUACCAAGGCAACGAUCAGUAGCCGACCUGAGAGGGUGACCGGCCACAUUGGGACUGAGACACGGCCCAAACUCCUACGGGAGGCAGCAGUGGGGAAUAUUGCACAAUGGGGGAAACCCUGAUGCAGCGACGCCGCGUGAGCGAUGAAGUAUUUCGGUAUGUA
This 416-nucleotide ribosomal RNA is filed under the name uncultured bacterium. RNAcentral's name for it is "bacterial SSU rRNA". It matches the Rfam family "Bacterial small subunit ribosomal RNA", at positions 29 to 427 of the family's 1533-position model. The record is from RNAcentral.